AAACAGUACAAAAACUCACCUUUCUCAGAAUUAAGAGAAACUCAUUAAUGACUAAAUUGUGCAAAUAGGUUAGCAAAUAUUUAUGUGUGGUAACUAACAAAUGUGGAAGAGGUGACAGACAUGAAGCAAUUGGCUACAGAAUUCAACUUUCUAUAGUGGACAAUGCAUUACUGAAACUCUCAGAAGAUAAAGUAGAGGAAGUUUUCCAUGGGCUGAAUAAGCAACUUUGGUAUUUCAUUUUUUUUAAUCAUCGUAGUUAUCCUCAGUUCAGUAAUUCUGAACUGAGAACAGCAUUCUCAGGUUGUAAAACAAUUUACUUACUUGUGAAUAAUUCUGCUUUAUCAGUAGAGGCACUACCUAGACACACUUAACUGAAGGAGGACUAGAUUAGGAGUUACUUCCACAUAACUAGUAUUUGCAGUCACGCUCCAAGGCCUGAUUGCAAUCAGAAUAAGAAUUUAGAACAGUAUCCCAAAUAAGCACAAAGGGACCCACUGACAAAAAAGAAAUGGCACAAGGUUCUAACAUCUGAGAGGUUUGGAAGAGACUGUAGCAUGCACUGAUACACACUUCAACGAAAGGCCAAUUCUCAGGAGAUGUGAAAUAUGAAUGCUGCACUAUUUGGUGAAGAUACUGCGGGUGAACAAAACUGGUAUUUUUGCCCUUAGUUCCACUUGGUUCCUUCCCCUUAGUUACUUUAGAGCAAAUGAAGUAGCAGCAAUUCUGAGAAUAUACUAGGCUCUCACACCUCCAACUGAGGACUUGCCCUUUUUUGCACUUUCAGCUAAUUGGAGAGUUGAGAGUAACUGAUGAAGAAGAGAACUGGAUACAGCAUAAUUGGAUCUUCAGCACUUUUGCAUCAAAGCACUGCUUGGUAUAAUAUUCAGGACAGAAGAAUCAGCUCUUAUUCAUGUGAAAUGCAAAAGGAAGCCAACGCCCUCAACGCUCUUCUCAUUCCCAGCUGGGAGAUUACUGAGAUUUGUCAUCCCAGACAAAAUUACUACAUCAUCUGCAUAUAACAAGGCUGGAAUUGCAAGAUCUGCUAACAUUGGAGAGUAAUGAUUAGAAGAUGAGAGAGCCUGAAUUAUUGAACUGAUGUACAAAUUAAAAAGGGGCUAGAAUACACCCUUGCCUUACCCCUCUUUUGGUGGAAACAGCUCCAGAAAGGUGCCCCUAAGGGGAACAUCUGACUCUCAGUGAGGUGCUAGAAUAAAGAGUCUGGAUAAGAAGGAACAAUGUUUUGACCACUGAGGAUUCCUGAAGUUUUUGCCAUAGCCUCUCCCUUGGAAUCAGAUCAAAAGCUGAUUUAAAAUCCACAAAAGCUGCAAAAAGGGCGCCUUUGGGUGGGGAAGUGUAUUUUUCACCUAAAUGGUACAAGACCAGACAGUGGUCUAAUGUUGAACAGUCCCCUCUAAAUUCCGCCUGUUUCUCAACAAGAAUAUUUUCACUUUGGACCCAAUCCAACAGUGUCAAAUAAAGAUACCUUGCAUAUA
This is a non-coding RNA of Python bivittatus (Burmese python), 1493 nucleotides long. NCBI's taxonomy places the organism in Eukaryota, Metazoa, Chordata, Lepidosauria, Squamata, Pythonidae. The record is from RefSeq and is a predicted model, not a curated record.